Molecule: transfer RNA, 75 nt
Filed under: Sphingorhabdus sp. YGSMI21
Lineage: Bacteria; Pseudomonadati; Pseudomonadota; Alphaproteobacteria; Sphingomonadales; Sphingorhabdaceae
Description: tRNA-Val
Rfam family: tRNA
About the family: Transfer RNA (tRNA) molecules are approximately 80 nucleotides in length. Their secondary structure includes four short double-helical elements and three loops (D, anti-codon, and T loops).
Source: RNAcentral
GCAUGAGUAGCUCAACGGGAGAGCACUGGCCGGACAGGUCAGGGGAACGAGUUCGACUCUCGUCUCAACGCACCA